Molecule: ribosomal RNA, 253 nt
Filed under: uncultured bacterium
Lineage: Bacteria
Description: partial 16S ribosomal RNA
Rfam family: Bacterial small subunit ribosomal RNA
Source: RNAcentral
UACGGAGGGUGCAAGCGUUAUCCGGAUUCACUGGGUUUAAAGGGUGCGUAGGUGGGCCUGUAAGUCAGCGGUGAAAUCUCCGGGCUUAACCCGGAAACUGCCAUUGAUACUAUAGGUCUUGAAUUAUCUGGAGGUAAGCGGAAUAUGUCAUGUAGCGGUGAAAUGCUUAGAUAUGACAUAGAACACCAAUUGCGAAGGCAGCUUACUACGGAUCGAUUGACACUGAGGCACGAAAGCGUGGGGAUCAAACAGG